This 434-nucleotide ribosomal RNA is filed under the name uncultured Dysgonomonas sp. RNAcentral describes it as "bacterial SSU rRNA". It matches the Rfam family "Bacterial small subunit ribosomal RNA", at positions 461 to 896 of the family's 1533-position model. Lineage: Bacteria; Pseudomonadati; Bacteroidota; Bacteroidia; Bacteroidales; Dysgonomonadaceae. The record is from RNAcentral.
GUCCUUUCUUGCAAGUACAGUACGAAUAAGCAUCGGCUAACUCCGUGCCAGCAGCCGCGGUAAUACGGAGGAUGCGAGCGUUAUCCGGAUUUAUUGGGUUUAAAGGGUGCGUAGGCGGGGAUUUAAGUCAGCGGUGAAAGUUUGAGGCUCAACCUUAAAAUUGCCGUUGAAACUGGGUUUCUUGAGUGUAUUUGAAGUAGGCGGAAUUCGUUGUGUAGCGGUGAAAUGCAUAGAUAUAACGAAGAACUCCAAUUGCGCAGGCAGCUUACUAAACUACAACUGACGCUGAAGCACGAAAGCGUGGGUAUCAAACAGGAUUAGAUACCCUGGUAGUCCACGCAGUAAACGAUGAUUACUAGCUGUUUGUGAUAUUACAAUAAGUGGCUAAGCGAAAGCGAUAAGUAAUCCACCUGGGGAGUACGCCGGCAACGGUG